GGGGAUUUAGCUCAGCGGCAUAAGCGCCUGCCUUGCAAGCAGGCAGUCCUGAGUUCGAUCCCCG
Non-coding RNA from Cavia porcellus (domestic guinea pig), 64 nucleotides. NCBI's taxonomy places the organism in Eukaryota, Metazoa, Chordata, Mammalia, Rodentia, Caviidae. The record is from Rfam.